Molecule: long non-coding RNA, 3939 nt
Organism: Amphiprion ocellaris (clown anemonefish)
Lineage: Eukaryota; Metazoa; Chordata; Actinopteri; Pomacentridae
Exons: 4
Source: RefSeq, a predicted model, not a curated record
UAGUCUGUGUGUGUCUAUGGCCGGCAUGUCUGGUAGCAUCUCUGGCUGCUGUUGACCUUGUUUUUGGAGUAAAACACGGUGGAAGCUGAAUUAGUGAGGAUGACUCCUGCUCCUGUCAUCUCUAAGCUCCUCACACAUCUUUACCUGCACAUGAGGAAAAUCACUCCUGUAGAAUGCAGAUGUUCAGAGGGAGAUGAUGCCACAUCUGGUCCAGCUGAUGGAAGGUCUUGAAGUUCUCUGACUGGCCUCGACUGAAGAUGGUCGUCUCACUGGAUUUAAGGUUCAGAUGCUCAGUAACAAACUCCACCAAUGAGCCAACAGGGAAGCUUUAGGUUUAUUAAAUGUUGCUAUGAAGGUAUCGCUGUUUUUCUUUGUGAAUGCAAUGUGCUCCAACUGAAACUUGAAUUAGAACUUAGAAGUAAAUCCUUCCAUCUGAAAGGAUUUAGUUGCAUUAAUAACCUCAUAACAUUCUAAUUUUUAUUCCAGUCUUGGUUGAAAAUAGAAUCUCUGUAUUGAUUCAGGUAAAAACUGAACUUCACAGCAUGUUGGAGCAAAACAACCAGAUGAAAACUGUGAUGGUGUUGGAUUGUCAGACCUGUAAUGUUGCAGCUCAAAGCAGCUUUUCUAUCUCAGUUCAUUCUGACAUUCAGCUAUGAAUCAACACAGCAGAUGGUGAUCCAUGCUGUGGAAGUCUCACAUCUCCUGAUUUAAUGGAGCUGCUUUGCACUUUUUACACUGUUUAUUCACCAACACUUUAUUUAAUAAAAGUCCCAUCUAGUUUUUAUGAGGAAUGUGAUGUUUUAAUUUCUCUGUGAAUAACUGCAGUCUAAUGCAACAGCUGGAGUUGUAACAUCUGUCCUGAUAUUGAUCAUGAAGUAUUGAUCAGAAUACUUAUGGUUAGCAGUCAUCCCUGAAGUUUUACAUUAAAAUCUUUACUUGUGUUGUGAACUUUGGUAAGAAGCAGAAACGUUAGCGUUGCCAUGGAUACAUGAGUGUUAAAUUCUGUCCAUGUUUCCAUUUUGGGAAAUUCAGUCCAGUUCCAGAAUGUGGAGGAAUUUAGUCUCACAAUCACAGACAACAAAUAUUAUCUGAAAGUCGGGUUAUUGUUGUUUAUCAGCACAAUACAAAAAGAUUAAUGUUAGAAAUAUUCCAGUUAAGACUCUAGAAUAUCAUGAUUUAUGUAAAUUUACCUCAAUAAUAUGAAUGUUCAGGUUAAGAUUGUACAGUGAUAUUUAUUAUGUAAGUUUAGCUGAUUAAAGUUUAUGACUCUGCACUAAAAUAUUAUUUAAAUUGACAUCAUUAUUAUAAUAUUUAGGGUCAGACCCUACAGUAUUGAGAUUAAGAAAUCAAAUAUUCUAUAAAAUGUAAAUACACUGAACUCAUUUGGAUAUAUUUAAGUGAGACUCUACAAUAUUAUUUGACACAAAUCUAUCUAAAUCAAAAUUUUAAUAAUUUUCACGCCAAACAUUUACUGGACUGAUUUAAAUAUUAAAAUCACUCCUUUCUAAUCCUCUGCUGUACGUUCAAACCUGAGGCCUUAAAUAGAAACACACAAGUAUCUGAUUGAAGGAACUUCUGCAGAGUCCUGGUUCCAGAACAUGAUGAUAGAAUUAUAGACAAACUUUAACAAAAGCUGCCUGAGAGUUUACAGGUUUUUAUGUUGGAUUUCUUCAGUAAUUUAAUGAGUUAUCAGCAAAAAUCAAGUGUUCAUUUGAUGAACUUCAUUUCCUAAAACAUCCAGAAUUGGAGCUCAUAUCUUUGGCAGCUGUAAAGUUUCUGCUCCUUCAAAGUUCACAACACAAUGAAUGAAUUCCUAAAACACUCUCAAUGCUGGAGAGCGUUUGUGAUGCUGAAGCAGUGAUCAGUUUUUCUGUUUCUUCUCUGGAGAUGCACAAUGAGGGACGUCUGCAGAGACUGAGAAAGAGUCUCACCACAUCCUGACAUGAGGAAAAAGACUUUAUUGAAGACUACAAUGAGAAAAACUAUCAGACAGCAGACGGCUGCAUUCAAGGUGAGCUCUGAACAUUUGAUCUGGAACAGGAAUUCAAUAACGGCAGCAUGAGCUUCAUUUCAGUCUGUAGCUGCUGAAUUCAUGGAUGAAUCAUCUGGCACUAGAGAAGAAGACCAUCAAACAUCCACGUCAGCUGAUGGAGGUCCAAGAGUCUCACCAAACAAACAACCUACAGAGUGAAGACCUCGAAUCUGAUUGGACGGCCUCCUAUUCAGCCACAUCUGUUAACAGUUUAGGCUGUUAGAUUGUUCCAGAUAAGACAAGUACAAGAUUCUUCAGAGCCGUUCUACCACGAGCCUGACAGGAAGAACUCCAACAGCUACUGAAUGUUCCUGUGGUUCCCUCAAGGCUACAGGAGGAGUCCUACGAGGACGAGCCGGUCCACCUGAUGGUGGCCAGUCGCUGCGGUUCAAAGCCAACACCGACUACAUGGACUUCUACUGGACCACACGGAGGCCUUCAAACCGGACCAACAAGUUCAGCGACUCCCCGACUCGUGGGUCUGAGGACGCCGCCGAGCCUCGGUCCAGCCGGCCUCCUGUCUGUGGGUGUUUGAGUGCUGAGAGGUUUGUGGAUGCAUGUGAACGUGUCUGUGUUGAAACAGCAGCUUUUGACUCAGUAACGCAGGGAAAAACCAAGAGCUCCUUUAUUUGUGACUUCCACUAAAAAAACUGAUGAAAAUAAGUUUGCCAGGGUUCUGACUGAUAACAGAUUAUUAAAUAAUGAAAAUAAUAGUUUAAAUAUUCCUUUAAACAAUCCUUUUAGGUCUACAUUUCCUUUACACUGACUUCUUGGUAUAUGUACAAGUAUUUUGGGUGGAAUAUACCAUUAAGCCCGAUGUUCAAGGGUUCUUCUGGGAAUAUACCAUUAAACCAACCUUUUAGGUAAAUGUUCCAGGAUGUUGGGUAGAAUAUACCAUCAGAUCAACCUUUUAGGUCUACAUUGGAAGAUUUUAGAGUAGAAUAUUACUCCAAACCAUCCUUUAGGUCUACAUUUAAGGUGGAAUACUCCUUUACACCAAGAUUUUUUGGUCUACAUUGAAGGAUUUUAGGUGGAAUAUUCCUUUGAACGAACUUUUUAAGUUUAUGUUCAAGGAUGUUGGGUGGAAUAUACCAUCAGACCAACCUCCAAGGUCUACAGUAGUGAAUUUUAGGUGGAAUAUACCAUUAAACUCACCUUUUAGGUCUACAUUGGAGGAUUUUAGGUGGAAUUUUCUUCCAAACCGUCUUUUAGUCUACAUUUAAGGAUGUUUAGGAUGGUAUAUUCUUCCGAACCAACUUCUCAGGUCUACAUUUCAGGUGGAAUAUUCCUCCAUACUAACUUUUUUGGUCUACAUUGAAGGAUUUUUUCUAAACCACCCUUUCAGGUCUAUAUUUGAGGUUUUAGGUUGAAUAUUCCUUUUAACCAGCCCCUCAGGUCUCUUUGAGGAUUUUGGAUGGAAUACUCGGUUAAACCAACAUUUUAGGUGCAUGUCCAAGAAUUUUUGGUGGAAUGUUCCUUUAAGGUGGAUGUUUGAGGACCUUGUAGGUGGAAUACUUCCUGAAACCAACCUUUUAGGUCAACAUUCAAAGAUUUAAGGUGGAAUAUUCCUUUAAACCAACCUAAAUUUCAUGUUUUGAUCAUUAUCAAGUGAGAAAUCUCAAUCCAGACUCCUCAUAAUGAUGUUUGAGAUUUAUGCUGCUGUUAUUUGUUUAGUCCAGACUAAAUGACAGAAAUCCACAACUGUAAUUUUAUUUCAGGACUCGGUUAUUAAAUGUCAAAACAAUCCAUGUGACUCUAAAAACUCAACAGCUUUACAAACUCUAAGAUUAAACUCUCCACAAGAAUCCAAAAUAAGUCUGACUUCUACAUGAGAGCUUUAAUUAUUCUUCAUCUACAUCCUGAAAAGUUUGGUCAAUAAAAAAGACAAAAACUAGUAUUUUCAGCUG